GGUUAAGCGACUAAGCGUACACGGUGGAUGCCCUGGCAGUCAGAGGCGAUGAAGGACGUGCUAAUCUGCGAUAAGCGUCGGUAAGGUGAUAUGAACCGUUAUAACCGGCGAUUUCCGAAUGGGGAAACCCAGUGUGAUUCGUCACACUAUCAUUAACUGAAUCCAUAGGUUAAUGAGGCGAACCGGGGGAACUGAAACAUCUAAGUACCCCGAGGAAAAGAAAUCAACCGAGAUUCCCCCAGUAGCGGCGAGCGAACGGGGAGGAGCCCAGAGCCUGAAUCAGUGUGUGUGUUAGUGGAAGCGUCUGGAAAGGCGCGCGAUACAGGGUGACAGCCCCGUACACAAAAAUACACAUAUUGUGAGCUCGAUGAGUAGGGCGGGACACGUGGUAUCCUGUCUGAAUAUGGGGGGACCAUCCUCCAAGGCUAAAUACU
Molecule: ribosomal RNA, 434 nt
Filed under: Escherichia coli
Lineage: Bacteria; Pseudomonadati; Pseudomonadota; Gammaproteobacteria; Enterobacterales; Enterobacteriaceae
Description: partial 23S ribosomal RNA
Rfam family: Bacterial large subunit ribosomal RNA
Source: RNAcentral